AGCCUGUGUUGGUGGGUAGAGGAAGCAUGAUGGAACAGCCUGUGUUGGUGGGUAGAGGAAGCAUGAUGGAACAGCCUGUGUUGGUGAGGAAGCAUGAUGGAACAGCCUGUGUUGAUGGGUAGAGGAAGCAUGAUGGAACAGCCUGUGUUGGUGGGUAGAGGAAGCAUGAUGGAACAGCCUGUGUUGGUGGGUAGAGGAAGCAUGAUGGAACAGCCUGUGUUGGUGGGUAGAGGAAGCAUGAUGGAACAGCCUGUGUUGGUGGUGGGUAGAGGAAGCAUGAUGGAACAGCCUGUGUUGGUGGGUAGAGGAAGCAUGAUGGAACAGCCUGUGUUG
This is a long non-coding RNA of Oncorhynchus tshawytscha (Chinook salmon), 333 nucleotides long. The record is from Ensembl. NCBI's taxonomy places the organism in Eukaryota, Metazoa, Chordata, Actinopteri, Salmoniformes, Salmonidae.